UAGGGAAUCUUCGGCAAUGGACGAAAGUCUGACCGAGCAACGCCGCGUGAGUGAAGAAGGUUUUCGGAUCGUAAAACUCUGUUGUUAGAGAAGAACAAGGACGUUAGUAACUGAACGUCCCCUGACGGUAUCUAACCAGAAAGCCACGGCUAACUACGUGCCAGCAGCCGCGGUAAUACGUAGGUCGCAAGCGUUGUCCGGAUUUAUUGGGCGUAAAGCGAGCGCAGGCGGUUUCUUAAGUCUGAUGUGAAAGCCCCCGGCUCAACCGGGGAGGGUCAUUGGAGACCGGGAGGCUUGAGUGCAGAAGAGGAGAGUGGAAUUCGAUGUGUAGCGGUGAAAUGCGUAGAUAUAUGGAGGAACACCAGUGGCGAAGGCGGGUCUCUGGUCUGUAACUGACGCUGAGGCUCGAAAGCGUGGGGAGCAAACAGG
Molecule: ribosomal RNA, 429 nt
Filed under: Gemmatimonadota bacterium
Lineage: Bacteria; Pseudomonadati; Gemmatimonadota
Description: Gemmatimonadetes bacterium partial 16S ribosomal RNA
Rfam family: Bacterial small subunit ribosomal RNA
Source: RNAcentral